Molecule: ribosomal RNA, 460 nt
Filed under: uncultured bacterium
Lineage: Bacteria
Description: partial 16S ribosomal RNA
Rfam family: Bacterial small subunit ribosomal RNA
Source: RNAcentral
CCUACGGGAGGCAGCAGUGAGGAAUAUUGGUCAAUGGACGAGAGUCUGAACCAGCCAAGUAGCGUGAAGGAUGACUGCCCUAUGGGUUGUAAACUUCUUUUAUAUGGGAAUAAAAUGUUCCACGUGUGUGAUUUUGUAUGUACCAUAUGAAUAAGGAUCGGCUAACUUCGUGCCAGCAGCCGCGGUAAUACGGAGGAUCCGAGCGUUAUCCGGAUGUAUUGGGUUUAAAGGGAGCGUAGUGGGGUGGUUAAGUCAGUUGUGAAAGUUUGCGGCUCAACCGUAAAAUUGCAGUUGAAACUGGAAGUCUGGAGUACAGUAGAGGUGGGCGGAAUUCGUGGUGUAGCGGUGAAAUGCUUAGAUAGCACGAAGAACUCCGAUUGCGAAGGCAGCUGACUGGACUGCAACUGACGCUGAGGCUCGAAAGUGUGGGUAUCAAACAGGAUUAGAGACCCUUGUAGUC